CCUACGGGGGGCUGCAGUGGGGGAUAUUGCACAAUGGGGGAAACCCUGAUGCAGCGACGCCGCGUGUGGGAAGACGGUCCUCUGGAUUGUAAACCACUGUCCCCAGGGACGAAGAUGACGGUACCUGCGGAGGAAGCUCAGGCAAACUACGUGCCAGCAGCCGCGGUAAUACGUAGGGAGCAAGCGUUGUCCGGAAUUACUGGGUGUAAAGGGAGCGGAGGCGGGAGGGCAAGUUGGGGGUUAAAUCUACCGGCUAAACUGGUAGUCGCACUUAAAACUGCUAUUCUUGAGUGCAGUAGAGGCCGGCGGAAUUCCUAGUGUAGCGGUGAAAUGCGUAGAUAUUAGGAAGAACACCAGUGGCGAAGGCGGCCUGCUGGGCUUUUACUGACGCUGAGGCUCGAAAGUGUGGGGAGCAAACAGGAUUAGAUACCCCGGUAGUC
Molecule: ribosomal RNA, 440 nt
Filed under: uncultured bacterium
Lineage: Bacteria
Description: partial 16S ribosomal RNA
Rfam family: Bacterial small subunit ribosomal RNA
Source: RNAcentral